CCCUUAGUUAUCCUAGGUCGCACGCGCCAUACAAUGUGGCGCACAACGAGUCUCCUUGGCCGACAGGAUGUCCCGCGAGCGAUCGGCGACGCAGCCAGCUCGGUCUUCGGGCAGACUCGGUGAGAGUGGCCCGUCCUCCUGAGAGGGCGAUCGUCGAUGCCUCGGGAUUCUGGGCAAUCUGGCAGAGCGCUACGUGACUGGGCUAGACUUUUGUAAUUUUUGGUCUUGAACGAGGAAUACCUAGUAAUCGCAGGUCAGCAUCCUGCGAUGAUUCGGUCCCUGCCCUUUGUACACACCGCCCGUCGCUCCAUCCGUGGCAUGCGCCGGUGAAGAGGGGGAGGCAGCGUCGGCCGUGUAACAGCGGAUCGUACGUGGAACCCCUCUGAACCUUCGCACGUAGAGGAAGGAGAAGUCGUAACA
This 420-nucleotide ribosomal RNA is filed under the name uncultured eukaryote. RNAcentral's name for it is "partial 18S ribosomal RNA". It matches the Rfam family "Eukaryotic small subunit ribosomal RNA", at positions 1470 to 1796 of the family's 1831-position model. The record is from RNAcentral.